GGCGGAAACCCGUGAACCCCGCCAGAUCCGGAAGGAAGCAACGGUAAGCGCCAGUUUCCGGGUGAUGUGGAGGCGCCUGUCCCG
This 84-nucleotide signal recognition particle RNA is filed under the name Candidatus Rifleibacteriota bacterium. RNAcentral describes it as "partial signal recognition particle sRNA small type". It matches the Rfam family "Bacterial small signal recognition particle RNA", at positions 16 to 97 of the family's 97-position model. From Rfam's summary of the family: The signal recognition particle (SRP) is a universally conserved ribonucleoprotein involved in the co-translational targeting of proteins to membranes. Archaeal SRP consists of a 7S RNA and homologues of the eukaryotic SRP19 and SRP54 proteins. In most bacteria, the SRP consists of a 4.5S RNA and the Ffh protein (a homologue of the eukaryotic SRP54 protein). Lineage: Bacteria; Candidatus Rifleibacteriota. The record is from RNAcentral.